GGCGGUGUAGCUCAGUUGGCUAGAGCAUUCGGUUCAUACCCGAAGUGUCGAUGGUUCAAAUCCAUUCGCCGCUACCA
This 77-nucleotide transfer RNA is filed under the name Candidatus Gallacutalibacter pullicola. Its description in RNAcentral is "tRNA-Met". It matches the Rfam family "tRNA". From Rfam's summary of the family: Transfer RNA (tRNA) molecules are approximately 80 nucleotides in length. The record is from RNAcentral. Lineage: Bacteria; Bacillati; Bacillota; Clostridia; Eubacteriales.